Molecule: long non-coding RNA, 512 nt
Organism: Anguilla anguilla (European eel)
Lineage: Eukaryota; Metazoa; Chordata; Actinopteri; Anguilliformes; Anguillidae
Exons: 3
Source: RefSeq, a predicted model, not a curated record
AUAUCCGCCUUCCAUGAUGGAGGCAUAUUCUCUCUUUUGUUUGACCGAGAUGCUGUGUUUGCUGCGCUGGUGAAUCUCGUGUAUGGCGGGCAUAUUGCAGCCUACGCUUUUAAACUAAUAUUUCAAUUGCAAUCGCUCAUAUUUCUUUGAUGGUUAUAUGAACUGAACAAGCAUUCCGUUCAUAGACAGACAAACCUUAAUUGGUUAUGUUGAUGGAUGGGCAGGUGCCUGAAUGCUGUUGGUCGCGGGUCGGACGGCUGUUGUGUUAGGGUUGUCGUCGCCUUCUAUUGGGGACUGUGUGUAUGCCGCUGCUUUAGUCUUACUGUGUCGAUGCAGAUGGGUCAAACUUUAAUUUAUAUUUUGUAAACCGAUAGCACUGGUGCACUUUUACUCUCCUUGAGAUACGGCAUUACGGCAAUUUAAACCACUUUCUAAUUUGUGUGAGGCUUGCGCCGAUUUAUCUUAAAGAGACAGUACAAAGCGCAUUGCUCAGAUACUAGGCACCAUUGUCA